UGGGGAAUUUUGGACAAUGGGCGAAAGCCUGAUCCAGCAAUGCCGCGUGUGUGAAGAAGGCCUUCGGGUUGUAAAGCACUUUUGUCCGGAAAGAAAUCCUUGGCUCUAAUACAGUCGGGGGAUGACGGUACCGGAAGAAUAAGCACCGGCUAACUACGUGCCAGCAGCCGCGGUAAUACGUAGGGUGCAAGCGUUAAUCGGAAUUACUGGGCGUAAAGCGUGCGCAGGCGGUUUGCUAAGACCGAUGUGAAAUCCCCGGGCUCAACCUGGGAACUGCAUUGGUGACUGGCAGGCUAGAGUAUGGCAGAGGGGGGUAGAAUUCCACGUGUAGCAGUGAAAUGCGUAGAGAUGUGGAGGAAUACCGAUGGCGAAGGCAGCCCCCUGGGCCAAUACUGACGCUCAUGCACGAAAGCGUGGGGAGCAAACAGGAUUAGAUACCCUGGUAGUCCACGCCCUAAACGAUGUCAACUAGUUGUUGGGGAUUCAUUUCCUUAGUAACGUAGCUAACGCGUGAAGUUGACCGCCUGGGGAGUACGGUCGCAAGAUUAAAACUUAAGGAAUUGACGGGGUCAUAGCUGUUUCCU
This 584-nucleotide ribosomal RNA is filed under the name uncultured bacterium. RNAcentral's name for it is "partial 16S ribosomal RNA". It matches the Rfam family "Bacterial small subunit ribosomal RNA", at positions 355 to 1375 of the family's 1533-position model. The record is from RNAcentral.